AUGAAGUUGAGGAGAAGGCUGAUGGACUGCUCUACGCUGAUUUGGUGAGUAGAAGGAAGGCGUUUGUUGAGCUGGUAGUAGAUGGAUGAAAUGAUUGUUUCUAGUCGAGACACGUUGAUCUCUGUGUUAUGAUCCAAAGUGUUAAGGCCAUUAUCUCGGAAGGCUUCAAUCAUAUUCCAGAUAUCAACAAGAUGAAGGUUACAUCGUUUCUGCACAAAGCGCAGCUUACAGGCUGUCCGAUACGUUGAAAGUCUGAUGACAUCAAAGUUCUGGGCCCUCAUUUCCAUGAACAGCUGUCUCUU
RNAcentral lists this long non-coding RNA (302 nucleotides) under Gallus gallus (chicken). Lineage: Eukaryota; Metazoa; Chordata; Aves; Galliformes; Phasianidae. The record is from RNAcentral.